GUGCUCCCACUGGCUCACAUGUACUGAAGUUGGAGCAAUACACAGAUUAGCAUGGCCCCUGUGCAAGACUGAUGUGCAAAUCCAUGAACUGUUCCAUUUUUUU
Small nuclear RNA from Psammomys obesus (fat sand rat), 103 nucleotides. Lineage: Eukaryota; Metazoa; Chordata; Mammalia; Rodentia; Muridae. The record is from RefSeq and is a predicted model, not a curated record.